GCUGGGCGUAGUGGUGCACGCCUGUAAUCCCAGCUACUAAGGAGGCUGAGGCAGGAGAAUUGCUUGAACCUAGGAGGCGGAGGUUGCAGUGAGCUGAGAUUGUGCCACAGCACUCCAGCCUGGGCAACAGAGCAAGAUUCUGUCUCAA
This 148-nucleotide non-coding RNA is filed under the name Pan troglodytes (chimpanzee). Lineage: Eukaryota; Metazoa; Chordata; Mammalia; Primates; Hominidae. The record is from Rfam by way of RNAcentral.